Molecule: RNase P RNA, 299 nt
Filed under: Nitrosomonas sp.
Lineage: Bacteria; Pseudomonadati; Pseudomonadota; Betaproteobacteria; Nitrosomonadales; Nitrosomonadaceae
Description: RNase P RNA component class A
Rfam family: Bacterial RNase P class A
About the family: Ribonuclease P (RNase P) is a ubiquitous endoribonuclease, found in archaea, bacteria and eukarya as well as chloroplasts and mitochondria. Its best characterised activity is the generation of mature 5'-ends of tRNAs by cleaving the 5'-leader elements of precursor-tRNAs.
Source: RNAcentral
GAAGCUGGCUAGACAGUCGCCGCUUGCAAGUUUUAUCAAGCAAGGGGAGGAAAGUCCGGGCUCCAUAGAGUGGGAUGGCGGCUAACAGCCGUCUGCCGUAAGGCAAGGAAUAGGGCCACAGAGACGAACGUAUUCAGUUACGGUGAAACGCGGUAACCUCCAUCCGGAGCAAGACCAAAUAGGCAGGCAAUGACGCUACUCGCUGAGCCUGCGGGUGGGUUGCUUGAGCAUGCAAGUAAUUACAUGCCUAGAGGAAUGACUGUUCACGACAGAACCCGGCUUAUCGGCUGGCUUCACUU